CACAGCAACAACCACAACAAAUAUCUAUAAAAUUACCCAACCCCUAGAACCUACAAUUGAGCCACACUAUAAAUAUAGACGAACUUAUGCUAAAACUAGUAACAAGAAACAAUAUUUUCUCUAGGCGCACUUAUGGCCCAGUAACAGAAAACCUACUGGACAUUAACAGACCACAAUAGGAAAACAACAAACAUUGUUUUAUCCACUGUCAAACCGACACCGGGGCGCCACCAAGAAAGAUUAAAAGCUGCAUAAGGAACUCAGCAAACCUUGUCCCAACUGUUUACCAAAAACAUAGCCUUUAGCAAUACAAGUAUUGAAGGUCCCGCCUGCCCAGUGAAAUAUUUAACGGCCGCGGUAUUCUAACCGUGCAAAGGUAGCGUAAUCACU
RNAcentral lists this ribosomal RNA (390 nucleotides) under Lamprolepis smaragdina. RNAcentral describes it as "partial 16S rRNA". The stretch from base 277 to 390 matches the Rfam family "Bacterial large subunit ribosomal RNA", at positions 1797 to 1969 of the family's 2925-position model. Lineage: Eukaryota; Metazoa; Chordata; Lepidosauria; Squamata; Scincidae. The record is from RNAcentral.